This 1368-nucleotide ribosomal RNA is filed under the name uncultured bacterium. RNAcentral describes it as "bacterial SSU rRNA". It matches the Rfam family "Bacterial small subunit ribosomal RNA", at positions 28 to 1381 of the family's 1533-position model. The record is from RNAcentral.
GACGAACGCUGGCGGCGUGCCUAAUACAUGCAAGUAGAACGCUGAAGAGAGGAGCUUGCUCUUCUUGGAUGAGUUGCGAACGGGUGAGUAACGCGUAGGUAACCUGCCUUGUAGCGGGGGAUAACUAUUGGAAACGAUAGCUAAUACCGCAUAACAAUGGAUGACACAUGUCAUUUAUUUGAAAGGGGCAAUUGCUCCACUACAAGAUGGACCUGCGUUGUAUUAGCUAGUAGGUGAGGUAAUGGCUCACCUAGGCGACGAUACAUAGCCGACCUGAGAGGGUGAUCGGCCACACUGGGACUGAGACACGGCCCAGACUCCUACGGGAGGCAGCAGUAGGGAAUCUUCGGCAAUGGGGGCAACCCUGACCGAGCAACGCCGCGUGAGUGAAGAAGGUUUUCGGAUCGUAAAGCUCUGUUGUAAGUCAAGAACGGGUGUGAGAGUGGAAAGUUCACACUGUGACGGUAGCUUACCAGAAAGGGACGGCUAACUACGUGCCAGCAGCCGCGGUAAUACGUAGGUCCCGAGCGUUGUCCGGAUUUUAUGGGCGUAAAGCGAGCGCAGGCGGUUUGAUAAGUCUGAAGUUAAGGCUGUGGCUCAACCAUAGUUCGCUUUGGAAACUGUCAAACUUGAGUGCAGAAGGGGAGAGUGGAAUUCCAUGUGUAGCGGUGAAAUGCGUAGAUAUAUGGAGGAACACCGGUGGCGAAAGCGGCUCUCUGGUCUGUAACUGACGCUGAGGCUCGAAAGCGUGGGGAGCGAACAGGAUUAGAUACCCUGGUAGUCCACGCCGUAAACGAUGAGUGCUAGGUGUUGGAUCCUUUCCGGGAUUCAGUGCCGCAGCUAACGCAUUAAGCACUCCGCCUGGGGAGUACGACCGCAAGGUUGAAACUCAAAGGAAUUGACGGGGGCCCGCACAAGCGGUGGAGCAUGUGGUUUAAUUCGAAGCAACGCGAAGAACCUUACCAGGUCUUGACAUCCCGAUGCUAUUUCUAGAGAUAGAAAGUUACUUCGGUACAUCGGUGACAGGUGGUGCAUGGUUGUCGUCAGCUCGUGUCGUGAGAUGUUGGGUUAAGUCCCGCAACGAGCGCAACCCCUAUUGUUAGUUGCCAUCAUUCGGUUGGGCACUCUAGCGAGACUGCCGGUAAUAAACCGGAGGAAGGUGGGGAUGACGUCAAAUCAUCAUGCCCCUUAUGACCUGGGCUACACACGUGCUACAAUGGUUGGUACAACGAGUUGCGAGUCGGUGACGGCGAGCUAAUCUCUUAAAGCCAAUCUCAGUUCGGAUUGUAGGCUGCAACUCGCCUACAUGAAGUCGGAAUCGCUAGUAAUCGCGGAUCAGCACGCCGCGGUGAAUACGUUCCCGGGCCU